Molecule: long non-coding RNA, 546 nt
Organism: Felis catus (domestic cat)
Lineage: Eukaryota; Metazoa; Chordata; Mammalia; Carnivora; Felidae
Exons: 3
Source: RefSeq, a predicted model, not a curated record
GUAAGUUAUGGCUCACAGGGGCUAGAUGAGAAUUGACAGGGGUCCCAUAGUUAAUACAUCAUAGAACCUAUUGCUUCUUUUCUUCGAAGUUUUCUAUGACAUCAUUCUGCUCUCUGGCAACACAUCAUUGGCAAAGAAAAAUAGUUCAAAGAAAGAUAUGUUGAUGGGUGUUCCAUAGUUUCACCAUCUUAUUGGGAGAACACACAUUUAUGACCUGCCAAAUGUUAAACAUUAGGAAUUUUGCUUGCAACUGGUUUGAUCUCCAGCAUGGAUAGAGGUGGCAGCAGAGAGAGGAUGCUUUGCUUCCCUGUUUCAACUCUACACAGCAUCCAGGAUCAUGUCUUAUACCUAUAUAGAAUCCUGAUUACCUCUACACACACAGGGUGAGGAUGGAAGAAAGUGUCCUUACUGUACAUCUUGGAAAGGGAGAAGGGCUAGCUAGCCUCAUCAUAGCCACUAAGGAUCCCCACCCAGCUGUCUCCAAGAAGUCCCAGGAACAGGCAUUGAGUCAGGAAACAAAAAUAAACAACACUUACUGUGAAUUUA